GCCUGGGUGGCUCAGUCGGUUAAGCGUUUACUUCGGCUCAGGUCAUGAUCUCACAGUUCGUGGGUUCAAGCCCCGCCUUAGGCU
RNAcentral lists this transfer RNA (84 nucleotides) under Felis catus (domestic cat). It matches the Rfam family "tRNA". From Rfam's summary of the family: Transfer RNA (tRNA) molecules are approximately 80 nucleotides in length. Their secondary structure includes four short double-helical elements and three loops (D, anti-codon, and T loops). Further hydrogen bonds mediate the characteristic L-shaped molecular structure. tRNAs have two regions of fundamental functional importance: the anti-codon, which is responsible for specific mRNA codon recognition, and the 3' end, to which the tRNAs corresponding amino acid is attached (by aminoacyl-tRNA synthetases). tRNAs cope with the degeneracy of the genetic code in two manners: having more than one tRNA (with a specific anti-codon) for a particular amino acid; and 'wobble' base-pairing, i.e. permitting non-standard base-pairing at the 3rd anti-codon position. The record is from Rfam by way of RNAcentral. Lineage: Eukaryota; Metazoa; Chordata; Mammalia; Carnivora; Felidae. RNAcentral also lists the same sequence under 2 other names.